This 496-nucleotide ribosomal RNA is filed under the name uncultured bacterium. RNAcentral describes it as "partial 16S ribosomal RNA". It matches the Rfam family "Bacterial small subunit ribosomal RNA", at positions 29 to 507 of the family's 1533-position model. The record is from RNAcentral.
AUGAACGCUGGCGGCGUGCCUAAUACCUGCAAGUCGAGCGCACAGACGAGGAGCUUGCUCCUCUGACGUUAGCGGCGGACGGGUGAGUAACACGUGGAUAACCUACCUAUAAGACUGGGGUAACUUCGGGAAACCGGAGCUAAUACCGGAUAAUAUAUUGAGCCGCAUGGUUCAAUAGUGAAAGACGGUUUUGCUGUCACUUAUAGAUGGAUCCGCGCCGCAUUAGCUAGUUGGUAAGGUAACGGCUUACCAAGGCAACGAUGCGUAGCCGACCUGAGAGGGUGAUCGGCCACACUGGAACUGAGACACGGUCCAGACUCCUACGGGAGGCAGCAGUAGGGAAUCUUCCGCAAUGGGCGAAAGCUUGACGGAGCAACGCCGCGUGAGUGAUGAAGGUCUUCGGAUCGUAAAACUCUGUUAUUAGGGAAGAACAAAUGUGUAAGUAACUAUGCACGUCUUGACGGUACCUAAUCAGAAAGCCACGGCUAACUACGUG